GACGAACGCUGGCGGCGUGCUUAACACAUGCAAGUCGAACGGAAAGGCCCUGCUUUUGUGGGGUGCUCGAGUGGCGAACGGGUGAGUAACACGUGAGUAACCUGCCCUUGACUUUGGGAUAACUUCAGGAAACUGGGGCUAAUACCGGAUAGGAGCUCCUGCUGCAUGGUGGGGGUUGGAAAGUUUCGGCGGUUGGGGAUGGACUCGCGGCUUAUCAGCUUGUUGGUGGGGUAGUGGCUUACCAAGGCUUUGACGGGUAGCCGGCCUGAGAGGGUGACCGGCCACAUUGGGACUGAGAUACGGCCCAGACUCCUACGGGAGGCAGCAGUGGGGAAUAUUGCACAAUGGGCGGAAGCCUGAUGCAGCAACGCCGCGUGCGGGAUGACGGCCUUCGGGUUGGAAACCGAUGUCGCCUGUGACGAAGCGUGAGUGACGGUAAUGGGUAAAGAAGCACCGGCUAACUACGUG
RNAcentral lists this ribosomal RNA (468 nucleotides) under uncultured bacterium. RNAcentral's name for it is "partial 16S ribosomal RNA". It matches the Rfam family "Bacterial small subunit ribosomal RNA", at positions 28 to 507 of the family's 1533-position model. The record is from RNAcentral.